GGCGAGUGAAGCGGCAACAGCUCAGAUUUGAAAUCUGGCCCUACGGGUCCGAGUUGUAAUCUGUAGAGGAUGCUUUUGGCAAGACGCCUUCUGAGUCCCCUGGAACGGGGCGCCAUAGAGGGUGAGAGCCCCGUACGGUUGGACGUCGCGCCUCUGUAAAGCACCUUCGACGAGUCGAGUAGUUUGGGAAUGCUGCUCAAAGCGGGAGGUAAAUUUCUUCUAAAGCUAAAUACCGGCCAGAGACCGAUAGCGCACAAGUAGAGUGAUCGAAAGAUGAAAAGCACUUUGAAAAGAGGGUUAAAAAGCACGUGAAAUUGUUGAAAGGGAAGCGUUUGUGACCAGACUUGUUCCCGGCGGAUCAUCCGGCGUUCUCGCCGGUGUACUCCACCGGGUUUCAGGCCAGCAUCGGUUUCUUCGGAGGCAUAAAGGCCUUGGGAACGUAGCUCUUCGGAGUGUUAUAGCCCAUUGCAAAAUACCUUCAGGGGGACCGAGGCCCGCGCAUUGCAAGGAUGCUGGCGUAAUGGUCACCAGCGACCCGUCUUGAAACACGGACCAAGGAGUCAAGCAUUAGGGCGAGUGUUUGGGUGUAAAACCCGCACGCGAAAUGAAAGUGAACGCUGGUGAGAGCUUCGGCGCAUCAUCGACCGAUCCUGAUGUUCUCGGAUGGAUUUGAGUAAGAGCCUUAACGCUUGGACCCGAAAGAUGAUGAUCUAUGCUUGUAUAGGGUGAAGCCAGAGGAAACUCUGGUGGAGGCUCGCAGCGGUUCUGACGUGCAAAUCGAUCGUCAAAUAUGAGCAUGGGGGCGAAAGACUAAUCGAAUCAUCUAGUAGCUGG
Molecule: ribosomal RNA, 834 nt
Filed under: Dictyosporella ellipsoidea
Lineage: Eukaryota; Fungi; Ascomycota; Sordariomycetes; Junewangiaceae
Description: partial large subunit ribosomal RNA
Rfam family: Eukaryotic large subunit ribosomal RNA
Source: RNAcentral